This 281-nucleotide unclassified non-coding RNA is filed under the name Hevea brasiliensis (rubber tree). The record is from RNAcentral. Lineage: Eukaryota; Viridiplantae; Streptophyta; Magnoliopsida; Malpighiales; Euphorbiaceae.
GGUAACAGUACUCCCAGUAUCUACUAUAAGGGCAAACCUCUGAGGAGGAGUUCCAAUCCAAAGGCGAGUCGUAUAAUAUCCGUUAAGGAGGAGAUCGUCGUGGAGAGGCAUACGAGCACUUGAAGGGCUUUUCUGGAGGUGUCGACGGGAGAGUUCAUCGCGUGGUGGAGAGAUUUCUUUAGGAGGAAAGAGAGGGAGAAACAUUGUAGUGUGGUUGUUUCUGUGAUUCCCUUCGCCAUUGCCAUUCGAUGAGGAGAGAAAAACGAAGCUUUCAUUUGAAA